CUUGCUUUAAGGCCGUGGCCUCUGUCUGCCUCUCUAAUUCUGAAUUCUCUGGCCUCAGGUCUUCCUCCCCAAACAACACCAACCCAUUUGGUUCCACAUUCUGCUUUGGUCUUCAGCGAAUGAUCUUUGAGGUCAUGCAGAACAACCACAUUGCCUCGGUGACCCUGUAUGGCCCCCCUAGGCCUGGUAGCCACCUGAGAACAGCGGAGCUCCCCUAGGGACACCACCACCCAUGCCUCUCUGUCCCGUGGAACUGUGCAUCACAUCCUGCUCAGUGGGCCUCUGUACCACCCUGUGGGUUUUCUUGGACACCUGGCCAGUGCUGAAGGGCUGUUGUGAUGUUCUGAGGUUGGGCUCAGGCUGGGUGCUCUGCCAUGGGCUGAGUGGCCCAGAUAUUCUUCUGUCCAUCUGUGGCCUGCUGGUGCCAGCAGGGGACACAGACUGCAAAGAGAAGCACAAAGUUUGAGCCUUGAUUCCUGGACCCAGGAGCUCUCAACUAACAAGGAGGCAGGAGAGGUCAACCCUUGUCCCAUGCACAUUGGGAAGACUUGGGGCUCUUUCUGUGACUGAGGACACAGGCACCCAGGAUAAGGACAAGGUCCUGCCUUUGGCUCCACAUUGCCACAUGACCCUUAAGGCAAGCAGGUAGCGUGUCCAUAGUACUUGGUUGCGACAUUUGCACUACAUCCACUUUAGUUACUUGAUGAGCUGGCUGUGGCCAGGGUGGCCCACCUGCCCUUCCCUGUUCCUUUCUUGCACGCGCUCCCUGCCUGGGCACACCAAACUGGUUGAAACACAGCUUUCUACCAUCCAGGUACAUGCCCAGGCCUGGUUCUCACCCCUGUUGGAGUCAGCUUUCAAGAUUGCCUGUGCCCCUGCUCUGCCCCAUCCUGGCUGGCAGGGCUGCAUGUUUCCAUCCUGUUUGCCUCUUUUAUUUAAUGCCAAAGUUUUAGCCAAAGACAUCUUCCUACUUUUGUUGUGUUUCAGCAUUCUGUUCUGCACUGUGGGCUGGCUCUCUGCCCCAACCCUGGGCACUGGCCCCUGGCUGGGCCAUUUCAUGGCUCAAAGCCUCUGGGGGCUCAAGGAAGGCUGGGCUGCUCAGUCCCUUCAUGGGUCUUGCUAAUGGAAAGUAGCAUAUAUGUGCUUUAAAAAUAUUAAUCCUUUUGAAAAGAAUUGAGAAGAGAAAUGUAUAAUUUUAUCCCAUUUUUAAUAUUUUGGUCUAGCAACUUGUGAUACAUAGAUGACAAUUUUGUGAGUUUUUCAAAUGUGUGUACAGAUUUUUGUAAAUAUGACUCUUUUGUAAUUAACUCAUGUACAGCCUCAUCCUGUAUAGUUUAAUGAUGAACGUGCAGGGGACCUGUCUCAGGCUCCUAUAUGGUUCCUGGGCCUUAUAGCCAGGUUUGUGUGGCGCUCCCGACUUUUGUGACUGACUGGUGUCUUCCCAUUUGGACUGUGGCCUGGCCAGAGCCCCUUGCAUAUCCCCACUGUCAGGGGCAGCCAGGACUGUUCCCAUCCUCCUGGAAUGGGGGAACCUUCCUUAUCCCCUGCCCACAUCCCCUCUCCAAUAAAGCACCUGUGCCCUCAGCAAUGGCCUGCCAUGUGCUGUUGCUGGGAUGUUUGUACUAAGGUAAGUGUGGGUAUUGGUUUUUUGAGCAAGGGGGUGGUUGAAGCAUAUGGGGAAAUUAAUAGUGGUGGCAUCUCAGGGGAAGACAUUCCUUGGCUCCUCUGAGGGGAUACAGCCUCCAGUGGGAGACUGGCAUUGUUGUGUGAGUUCAGGAGGUGGGGAAAGAUUAGGUAGGACCGUGCACUCAUUUGUCCCUUAUGUGUGGCUCCAUCCCUGGUGCUCAGCCACACCUGGGCCCAGGAGAGGUUGUGGGAAGCAUAAUGUCUGUUUUCAGAUGAGCUGUGGCAAAGUGCCUGCCAGGUUCAUGAAUUCAAGCUGUGGCGGCCGGAGCCCCUCCACCUCCCUGUGGGGCCUGGCCUUGAGAGCCUCUGCAUGCGUCCGAGUCAGCCUAGGGGUUCCAAAUCCAGCAGAGUGGUAGGAUUCCCUAAGUCCCUGCCACCCCACCAGAACACACCUCUGUGCUACUAGGAGGACCAGAUAUAUCCACUGCUCUGGGACCUGUUGGACAAGAGAUGGUCAUAUACCACCCAGCCUUGGCUCGCUCAAAGGGUCACCAUUACACGGGUUUCAACUGGUUCCAGCAGGGUGGACCGCCAGGAGCCAAGCUUAACCCCCAUCCCCUGGGAUCCUGUGGAGACAGGCACCUGGUGAUCAGGGAAGAACCACAUACACGGCAAUAAUCUGGGAAACCGGCUCCAUCCUGGGUCUGAGUUAGGAGCUUGGGGCUGUAGUGGGGAGCUAGGAGUCCCAUUGGAAGGGGCCUGCAGCGACAGGCUGUGGAUGCGCACAGGCUGGCCCAUGCGGCCCGAGCAGCAGGCGCCACAUAAGCCAGAUGUCAGCGGCCGAG
Molecule: long non-coding RNA, 2471 nt
Filed under: Pan troglodytes (chimpanzee)
Lineage: Eukaryota; Metazoa; Chordata; Mammalia; Primates; Hominidae
Description: long non-coding RNA NONPTRT006077
Source: RNAcentral